AGUGGCAACACUCACCCAGGGCCGGAAAGUUGUUCAAACUUGGUCAUUUAGAGGAAGUAAAAGUCGUAACAAGGUUACCUUCUGCAGCAGAGCUACGGAGACCUUGCAACCCCUCACCGGGAGGCAGCGCGACUAUAAACAGAGCUGACCGUUUGCAAGUCGACUGAGAAGUCGGCAACACAAUCGAAUUGACGGGGACCUCCUAAAGCCUACAACACCAACCGUCCGGGGAAACUCGGUCGGGGCCCUCGCGGGGUGGUAAUAGAGUGUAGGAUGUUAAUGGACAAUCCGCAGCGAAGUCCCUACCGGCGAGAGCCCACGGGAAUCGUUCACAGACUAAGUGAUUGUGGGCUAGGCUGUGUGCCUGGUCUAAGAUAUAGUCGGCCCCCGCUCGAAAGGGCGGUGGAAUUCUGUGUCCGUAGGUGAACCUGCGGAAGGAUCAUUAAUAAACCAAGCGGGUCCUCUCGAAAUGAAUGGAUGUCUGAACCCUUGAAUACAAAACUUCGUUGCUUUGGCGGGCCGCCUUCGGGCGUCGGCCUCGGCUGACAGCGCCUGCCAGGGGACCAAAACUCUUAGUUCAGUGAUGUCUGAGUACUAUAUAAUAGUUAAAACUUUCAACAACGGAUCUCUUGGUUCUGGCAUCGAUGAAGAACGCAGCGAAAUGCGAUAAGUAAUGUGAAUUGCAGAAUUCAGUGAAUCAUCGAAUCUUUGAACGCACAUUGCGCCCCUUGGUAUUCCGAGGGGCAUGCCUGUUCGAGCGUCAUAUAAACACAUCCUGUAAAGGGGUCUUGGGGCUCGCCCUCUAGCGGCUCUUAAAAUCAGUGGCGGCGCCAUCUGGCUCUAAGCGUAGUAAUUAUCCUCGCUAUAGGGUUCCGGUGGAUGCUUGCCAGCAACCCCCCAUUUUCUACGUUUGACCUCGGAUCAGGUAGGGAUACCCGCUGAACUUAAGCAUAUCAAUAAGCGGAGGAAAAGAAACCAACAGGGAUUACCUCAGUAACGGCGAGUGAAGCGGUAACAGCUCAAAUUUGAAAUCUGGCUUCUUCGGAGCCCGAGUUGUAAUUUGUAGAAGAUGCUUUGGGCGUGGCUCCGGUCUAAGUCUCUUGGAACAGAGCGUCAUAGAGGGUGAGAAUCCCGUAUGUGACUGGGUGCCUUCGUCCGUGUAAAGCUCUUUCGACGAGUCGAGUUGUUUGGGAAUGCAGCUCAAAAUGGGUGGUAAAUUUCAUCUAAAGCUAAAUAUUGGCCAGAGACCGAUAGCGCACAAGUAGAGUGAUCGAAAGAUGAAAAGCACUUUGGAAAGAGAGUUAAACAGUACGUGAAAUUGUUGAAAGGGAAGCGCUUGCAACCAGACUUGCAUGUGGUUGAUCAUCCGAGGUUUUCCCCGGUGCACUCGAUCACGUUCAGGCCAGCAUCGGUUUGGGUGGUUGGAUAAAGGCCUUGGGAAUGUGGCUCCUCUCGGGGAGUGUUAUAGCCCUCGGUGCAAUGCAGCCUAUCCGGACCGAGGACCGCGCUUCGGCUAGGAUGCUGGCGUAAUGGUUGUAAGCGACCCGUCUUGAAACACGGACCAAGGAGUCUAACAUCUAUGCGAGUGUUUGGGUGUCAAACCCAUACGCGUAAUGAAAGUGAACGGAGGUGAGAACCCUUAAGGGUGCAUCAUCGACCGAUCCUGAUGUCUUCGGAUGGAUUUGAGUAAGAGCAUAGCUGUUGGGACCCGAAAGAUGGUGAACUAUGCCUGAAUAGGGUGAAGCCAGAGGAAACUCUGGUGGAGGCUCGCAGCGGUUCUGACGUGCAAAUCGAUCGUCAAAUUUGGGUAUAGGGGCG
Molecule: ribosomal RNA, 1818 nt
Filed under: Hyalopeziza nectrioidea
Lineage: Eukaryota; Fungi; Ascomycota; Leotiomycetes; Helotiales; Hyaloscyphaceae
Description: eukaryotic LSU rRNA
Rfam family: Eukaryotic large subunit ribosomal RNA (bases 912-1818)
Source: RNAcentral